AUCUUUCUAGUAUCAAAGUUAGUACAAGUGACUUCCAAUCACACAGCCUUGGUUAAAACCCAAGGAAAGAUA
RNAcentral lists this transfer RNA (72 nucleotides) under Henicorhynchus lobatus. RNAcentral describes it as "tRNA-Gly". It matches the Rfam family "tRNA". Rfam says of the family: Transfer RNA (tRNA) molecules are approximately 80 nucleotides in length. Their secondary structure includes four short double-helical elements and three loops (D, anti-codon, and T loops). Lineage: Eukaryota; Metazoa; Chordata; Actinopteri; Cypriniformes; Cyprinidae. The record is from RNAcentral.